RNAcentral lists this ribosomal RNA (253 nucleotides) under uncultured bacterium. Its description in RNAcentral is "partial 16S ribosomal RNA". It matches the Rfam family "Bacterial small subunit ribosomal RNA", at positions 524 to 776 of the family's 1533-position model. The record is from RNAcentral.
UACGGGGGGGGCAAGCGUUGUUCGGAAUUACUGGGCGUAAAGGGUGCGUAGGUGGCGCGCUAAGUCGGGUGUGAAAUCUCGGAGCUUAACUCCGAAAUUGCAUUCGAUACUGGCGUGCUUGAGGACUGGAGAGGAGACUGGAAUUCAUGGUGUAGCAGUGAAAUGCGUAGAGAUCAUGAGGAAGACCAGUGGCGAAGGCGGGUCUCUGGACAGUUCCUGACACUGAGGCACGAAGGCCAGGGGAGCAAACGGG